This 1177-nucleotide long non-coding RNA is filed under the name Cricetulus griseus (Chinese hamster). Its description in RNAcentral is "lncRNA (ENSCGRG00015030227.1)". The record is from RNAcentral. Lineage: Eukaryota; Metazoa; Chordata; Mammalia; Rodentia; Cricetidae.
AGGAAAUCGGGCUCCCCCAGAAGGGGUCCUUUCGGGCAGAACAUAAACAGAGGGGCGAGCUGUCCCCGGGUUCAUACAGCAAACGCCGGCCCGGCCCGGCGGAGAGCAGCUGACUACUGAGAGCCAAGCAGGGAACGAGGUGCAAGGGGUUGUUGAGCCGGCUCCCUGCAGCCGGUGAGGGAAGAAAUGAUAGUAGCCAGACCCGGUCCAGCAAAGCCAAAGGGCCCCGGCCGUGGAGAAAGUGUUCCUGUCUAUAAAUAACUCCGCCUGGGGGACAAACAGAAACAUCAAAGCCGGGCGCGGGAGCGCAGGCUGGGCGAGCCGGCUCGCUCCUGGGGAGCUGGAAAGGGAGCGCGUCCCCCGCCGGAGCCGCCGUCAGCGGGCAGCGCGUACCUCCGGGGCCCGGGCGUCCACGGCCCCUCCCGGGUGCUCCUGGCCCGUGACACCCGCAGCUCCGGGAGCCGGUGUCAAGCGGCGAGACGCACGGGAGUGGGGCGGCGUCUUCACCAACCACCGCGCAGACGGAGGCCUCGUGAGCAGCAAAGGGCCAGAUCCCCGCAGCCCCAGGGCCUGGCCACACCCCAGCCAGGCUCAGGCGGCGCCAGGGGUACCGCUGGCCACUCUCCGCUGAGACUCCGGACACCACCAGGGCCCCCUGCCCGCAGGGUCGCUCUCAGAAGUGUGGCCUGCCCCCCAGCAGGGCGAAGAGCCCCCGCUUGUCCCUUAGGACUGCUGCCCUCAGUGGUCAAGAUGCCACCUGGCUGUGGAAGCCUGCGGCGCCGCACUGACGCUAAUGGGUGGGUGAACACCUGAGCCUGUGCAGUGGCUGAGAACUCUCUGCGGGAGGACACCGGGAACACAAUAAACCCCGUGAGAGAGAAGAUUGCAACCCAGCCCCUCAGAGAAGGUACUCCUCCCUCCUCUCAGUAGGGGAGGAGAUGCUGGGAUCUUAACACUUACUCUCCACCUUCCCCUUCUCACCCCAAGUAAGGAUGGGGAGGCCUGAGAGGGUCCUGAUUUUGACCUCAGAACCCCGUUUCCGUUAUUUUCAGGUCAAGAGUUUCAAGAAGUUCCCCAGCCCUUGUUUCCAGACUCCAGAACUGUGUGUUACCCCACUACUACUGCUGGGCAUUGGACCUAGAGUCUCAGGCACCCUAGGGACGCAGCUGCUGCUGCU